Long non-coding RNA from Ovis aries (sheep), 970 nucleotides. NCBI's taxonomy places the organism in Eukaryota, Metazoa, Chordata, Mammalia, Artiodactyla, Bovidae. The record is from Ensembl.
GGCUUCCUUUCCAGUGGAAAGCAAAUUGGUGGGAGAGGGGAAGACCCAUCCCAGACCUUGUCUCAGCUGGGUAAGGUCCUGGGGUCCUGCAGGGUGUCCCUCACAGAGCCAGGAUGCUGAAAGAAAACAUCUGUCCCAGGCCUCUCGCAGCUCAAAGUCUGGAAGUAAACAAACAAAAUAUGAUGGGCUGAGAGCUCCCAACAACCCCCAGCCAAGGAAGCAAUCCAGAGGACGUGCAGUCAGACUGCCAAGGUGCUCCCUGCAAAGGCAGGGUGGCGGUAAAGCAGAGCAGGCUAAGGAGGCCGCAGACCCUGCGCCCCAUGUUCCCCAGUUCUGUAGACUGGCCACACUGCAGAGAGCCGGAGACACCAUCAGAAUGGAGCCGCCAGAGGAACAAAAGACCCUGAUGCUGGGAAAGAUAGAAGUCAGGAGGAGAAGGGGGCAACAGAGGACGAAUGGUUGGAUGGCAUCACCAACUCAUUGGCAUGAGUGGGAGCAAGCUCUGGGAGAUGGUGAAGGACAGGCGUGCUGCUGUUCGUGGGGUGGCAAAGAGUCGGACACAACUGAGGGACUGAACAACAACAACAAGAGGAACAUUGUCACCAUUAUCACCACGGGGGACAUCGCGGCAACGUCUGGGCCUUGAGUGCUGGAAUGAGCUGGAAUGUCAGAGCUGAAGCCCAGUUGGAGCUCAAGUCUUUGCUCGGGCUGCGAAAGAUGGGGGCUGGGAUUGGAGGCUGCAGAAAGAAAGGUAGGCUGCAGGUCAUGGAGAGAGAGCAAGCCCGAGAGAAAGAUGUUGACAUGCCCCCAACUUGCAGCAAGAAGCAGCGUGGACUCACACGGGUGUAAACACACACCUGGACACGCUGGCAUAUGGAAAUGCAUGGACCCACAUACAUGCACACUCACGUGUGGCACACACACACAAGCACUGGGUGCCUUGUGCACACUGCCACAUGCUCCGCCCCCC